Molecule: long non-coding RNA, 307 nt
Filed under: Eurytemora carolleeae
Lineage: Eukaryota; Metazoa; Arthropoda; Copepoda; Calanoida; Temoridae
Description: uncharacterized LOC111717654
Source: RNAcentral
AGGUCUGUGCAUUGAAUUCGGUGGAUGUGCACCUUGAAAGAAACUGUAUACGUGGUUCUCAUCUUCUUCCGACUUACUGACAGGUGUAUAUCUGCACGGAGAAUCCAAUGACGGCUGUAAUGAAUGGCUAGCUCGUACACUUUACAAUGUGCAUUCAGACAGGUUCCCGACUUCUAGACGGUCUGAGAAUUCUAAGCACAGAUUGCAAUGUGCAAAGAUUUAAAACACACCUUAGGCGAUGCAGGUAAAUAGACAAGGGUGCAAAAUUGCAAACCUGUGGUUGUUAAAUUACUCUCUGUCUAGCUGG